Molecule: small nuclear RNA, 253 nt
Filed under: Pongo abelii (Sumatran orangutan)
Lineage: Eukaryota; Metazoa; Chordata; Mammalia; Primates; Hominidae
Description: 7SK RNA
Rfam family: 7SK RNA
About the family: 7SK was discovered as an abundant small nuclear RNA in the mid-70s but a possible function has only recently been suggested.
Source: Rfam by way of RNAcentral
GAAUGUACAAUUUAAGCAACCUGUCUCCUUAGCUGGUCUGGCCUGGUGGUUCCUUCUCUCCCUCCUUGAGCUUCCCUUGGUCAGAGAGGUGGCCUUCUACAUGAAGAAGGUUCAUUCUUGGACCCAGGGCAUGUGAGCUGCUGCACUUGCUUCUUCAUGAAUUUCCCAGUAGACUCAAGGUCCCUCCAUAAGAGAGGGAAGAGUAGCCAAGCUUCCAAGAACAAGAGAUCAUAUUGUACAAAAAAGGCUCAUA